UACGAGAGGCCCAAGCGUUGUUCGGAAUUACUGGGCGUAAAGGGUUCGUAGGCGGCAAUGCAAGUUGGGUGGGAAAGCCCUCGGCUCAACCGAGGAAUUGCGCUCUAAACUGCAGUGCUUGAGGAACCUAGAGGUGAGCAGAACAGAUGGUGGAGCGGUGAAAUGCGUUGAUAUCAUCUGGAAUACCGGAGGCGAAGGCGGCUCACUGGGAGUUUUCUGACGCUGAGGAACGAAAGCCAGGGUAGCGAACGGG
This 253-nucleotide ribosomal RNA is filed under the name uncultured bacterium. Its description in RNAcentral is "partial 16S ribosomal RNA". It matches the Rfam family "Bacterial small subunit ribosomal RNA", at positions 524 to 776 of the family's 1533-position model. The record is from RNAcentral.